UACGGGGGUGGCGAGCGUUACUCGGAUUUAUUGGGUGUAAAGGACAGGUAGGCGGCUACGCAAGUUGAGGGUGAAAUCCUUUGGCUCAACCAAAGAACUGCCUUCAAAACUGCAUGGCUUGAGGCUGGGAGAGGAGAACGGAAUUCCCGGUGUAAGGGUGAAAUCUGUAGAUAUCGGGAGGAACACCUGUGGCGAAAGCGGUUCUCUGGUCCAGCUCUGACGCUGAACUGUGAAAGCUAGGGGAGCAAACAGG
Molecule: ribosomal RNA, 253 nt
Filed under: uncultured bacterium
Lineage: Bacteria
Description: partial 16S ribosomal RNA
Rfam family: Bacterial small subunit ribosomal RNA
Source: RNAcentral